AGUAUGCCAUUGAUCUUAUCUUCUGUUGGCGCCUAACGGGAGAAACAAAUCCAAGUCAAUCUUUAGAGAUCCAAAAGCGUUCUUGGUGUAGAAAAAAAAAAAUACAAAAGAAGUUAUAAAGAGAUUGCUUACCUGCCAACGAAUCAACACGGAGGUUGUGGUGUGUGGUGUCACGGAGAUAACUAGCGGAGAAUCGUCAGGCGCUGCGUGGGAAAAUAAAAUAGAAGAUGAAGCACGCAGAGAUAUUUGACACAUCUUCCCUUGGAUCACAAUUAACUCUCACCUGUCCACAAGAGCAGAGGUGGCAUUGUGACUGAUGGAAGCGGAGUGGACAACCCAACGCCCCUUGGGCAGUUCUCGGGUCUGGAUGGUGUAGUAACGGACAGGAGAAAGGCCAUCGCUGCCAGGUUCCCACGCCAAGAGGACGCUCCGUGACUUCACGUCUUCCUGUAGAACCCCCGGCUUGCUAGGCGACUGAGGACGCUCUGAAAUAGAGAUAGGAAUGUGGAUUUCAAUGCGGGACAACUUCACCCAACACUUUUAUUCUGGAUGCUGGGUAACAAAAUCACAAACUGACGAACUAUGUUUGAUGAGGACUCUGCCAACGAUGAGAUAUCGGAGAACUCUUAGUUCUGUGCAACGUUUGUACAGCUAUUGCAAAGCCAAAGAAUAGUGUCACCAUACCCUGAUGGGCAUUCAAGACCCAACUAACUCCAGGCUAAAAUUCUUAAGUCAAAAGAGAAGCUUAGGCUCAGUGCCACUUUCUGCACCAUCAAGGACUGCCCACCAUUGGGGAAUGCCAUGGGAGAAGAUUGGGGGGGAAGUUAUUGUAAAAGAUUGGGGGACGCCAUUGGGGAAGACCCAAUGCAUCACGUGACCAGCCCCAAGACAUAAAAGGAAAGGGUAUUAAAAAAAAAAAAAUGGAAAGGGAUACUUCCAGGUGGCCUCCAGAGAGAGAAGGGGCUAAAAGUUGAGCUUUAACAAAUAAACACUAUCCCAAUGUUUGGUAAAGUAAGAGUGUCCACUUUAAAUUGGACUUGUUGGAGGGUCCGAGAUGGGAAAUGCAGCAUGGGCAUUCUACCACUGGAGGCACCACAUCAAACCAACGUUUGUAACGUGUUGCUACAUGGCAUAAUGUUAACAGGCCCUAAGAUGAGAUAUUUUCUCACUUCAUGUUGUGUCUCCAAUAGAGGAAGUGACACCCCCUCUCCCAAAACCAAGAGUUCUAACCCUUCCCUACUCUUUCUUAAAUUUAAAGAAAUUGUCUUUGGAUACCCUCCAGAUUAAAUAAGAAAGGUUCUAAAAUAUGCCAUCUUGUACCUCGCUUCUCUGUGGUGACCACCAGUGCUUCAGCCGCCUCUCCCCAUCCUUUGCGAGUCUGGGCGGUGAUUCUGAACAGGUAGACAGAUUCCGGCCUCAGCGCCGUAGCGGUAUACUGCCGUACACUUGGGUUCAGAACAUCCACUGUUGCGGUGUUGGCAUUGGUUGUAUUGAGCCGGUGAGUUAUCUGAUAGGCUGUUGGGGAAAAAAAUACAAUAAUUGUUUACUGAACUACAACAGGUAAUCAUUAUCUGUUGUCAUUCGCUGGCAGCGGUCACAUGACUUAAGCGUGGCAUUGUCAUAGAACGUCUUUCAUUAAUAAAGUUGCUGUAAACCCGAACUGAA
Long non-coding RNA from Rana temporaria (common frog), 1665 nucleotides. RefSeq lists it as uncharacterized. The transcript is spliced from 2 exons. NCBI's taxonomy places the organism in Eukaryota, Metazoa, Chordata, Amphibia, Anura, Ranidae. The record is from RefSeq and is a predicted model, not a curated record.